Molecule: long non-coding RNA, 1182 nt
Organism: Solanum dulcamara
Lineage: Eukaryota; Viridiplantae; Streptophyta; Magnoliopsida; Solanales; Solanaceae
Exons: 4
Source: RefSeq, a predicted model, not a curated record
CCUAUAAAUAUAUGGCUAGGUUUUCUCUCAUCUCUUUAGCCUUAUAGAAAUCGCCUCAUUUGACUGCUAGUUAUAGGAGAAGCAAUGAGAGGAAGACAAAGUUGAAUGCUCCACAUGUCUGAAACACACUUCCGCAAUGAUAAACAAGAUGGAUUCUACAUUUAUAAACAAGGUUACUUAGAAGAAAAAGGGAAAAAAGGAAGAAGGAACUUUUUGAAAAUUCAAAUACACGGCUUCGCUACAUCUUCUCGAUUAGCAUAAACACCACUUCACUGCCUCAUUAUCUUCCAUUACAAUGCUUGCCAGCCGCUUCUUCUUCUUCGACGAUCUCCACUGCCCAAGUAGCAUGAUCAACAAUGCGCGAUUUGAAUGUACAAAGGUCACUUUCAUUAUGGUACCAUCAAGCCAUCAAAAAGGAAAGAAGAGCAAUACAAGGGCUUCAAGGAAGGAAAGAAGGACUGCAAGGAAGGAAAGAAUCAAUCCAAGGAGAUCUGCAAUCCAUUAGAAGGAAAGAGAUCAAUCCAAGGAGAUGUGCAAAUCCAUCAACACUCCUUAGUUCAUGUAGGAGAACAUUAAAAGGAAAAGAGAUAAUCACUGCAAAUUUGGUAGAGGGAAUUAGACCCUUAUCUUUUGAAGGAAAGAAGAAUAAUCAUGGAAUAUCAAGAAGGAUUUCUGAAGACUCCUCAACGACUAAAGAUACAAAUUCAAGCUAGACUUUGUCCUUAUUGUUGGAAAGAAGGAUUCAUCUUUCUUCCAAGGAUCAAAUCCUUUGGGUUGCAAAAGUCAAUCCACACACUUUAUAAAUCACAAGAUCAGUGGUUGAGAAAAAUAUACAUUCGUCCAUCCAUUCUAUAAGCUUAUUUCUACUUUACUAAGCAUCACUAUUUCUUUGUGAAUUACUGUGUAAUCAAAAAGAGAAAAGAGUUUACUUGAGUGGUGAGGUAUUGUAUCAAAAGAUUGUGAAAAAGAAAGAGAGAACAAGAAAAAAAUUGAGUGUAGAUCUAGGAUCUACUUUACUUACCCUUGUAACCCAUUCACUAAGCUUAGUACAACACCCUUUCAACCCAAGGGCAUUGGACUAAGAUUCACAUCGGAUCCCAACUACUAUAAAAACAUUUGUCAUCACUUCUUCAUUCUGCUCUUUAAUUAUCUCUUUUCUAUUUAGUUAUUACAGAAAACUGG